GACGAACGCUGGCGGCGUGCUUAACACAUGCAAGUCGAACGGAAAGGCGCUGCUUUUGUGGGGUGCUCGAGUGGCGAACGGGUGAGUAACACGUGAGUAACCUGCCCUUGACUUUGGGAUAACUUCAGGAAACUGGGGCUAAUACCGGAUAGGAGCUCCUGCUGCAUGGUGGGGGUUGGAAAGUUUCGGCGGUUGGGGAUGGACUCGCGGCUUAUCAGCUUGUUGGUGGGGUAGUGGCUUACCAAGGCUUUGACGGGUAGCCGGCCUGAGAGGGUGACCGGCCACAUGGGGACUGAGAUACGGCCCAGACUCCUACGGGAGGCAGCAGUGGGGAAUAUUGCACAAUGGGCGGAAGCCUGAUGCAGCAACGCCGCGUGCGGGAUGACGGCCUUCGGGUUAUAAACCGCUUUCGCCUGUGACGAAGCGUGAGUGACGGUAAUGGGUAAAGAAGCACCGGCUAACUACGUG
RNAcentral lists this ribosomal RNA (468 nucleotides) under uncultured bacterium. RNAcentral describes it as "partial 16S ribosomal RNA". It matches the Rfam family "Bacterial small subunit ribosomal RNA", at positions 28 to 507 of the family's 1533-position model. The record is from RNAcentral.